This 92-nucleotide transfer RNA is filed under the name Treponema pallidum subsp. pallidum str. Chicago. RNAcentral describes it as "tRNA-Ser". It matches the Rfam family "tRNA". Rfam says of the family: Transfer RNA (tRNA) molecules are approximately 80 nucleotides in length. Lineage: Bacteria; Pseudomonadati; Spirochaetota; Spirochaetia; Treponematales; Treponemataceae. The record is from RNAcentral.
GGAGAGAUGCGAGAGCGGUCGAAUCGGACGGUCUCGAAAACCGUAGCGCUCUUGCAAGGGCGCCGAGGGUUCGAAUCCCUCUCUCUCCGUUG